This 466-nucleotide ribosomal RNA is filed under the name uncultured bacterium. RNAcentral describes it as "bacterial SSU rRNA". It matches the Rfam family "Bacterial small subunit ribosomal RNA", at positions 28 to 487 of the family's 1533-position model. The record is from RNAcentral.
GAUGAACGCUAGCGACAGGCCUAACACAUGCAAGUCGAGGGGCAGCACAUGCGUAGCAAUACAAUGGUGGCGACCGGCGCACGGGUGAGUAACACGUAAGCAACCUACCUGUAAGUGGGGAAUAACCCGGAGAAAUCCGGACUAAUACCGCAUAAUACUUUUGAACUGCAUGGUUAAAGUUAAACAUUAUGGCUUACAGAUGGCGAUGCGUAUGAUUAGUUAGUUGGUGAGGUAACGGCUCACCAAGACAUCGAUCAUUAGGGGUUCGUGAGAGGAAGGUCCCCCACCACUGGUACUGAGACACGGACCAGACUCCUACGGGAGGCAGCAGUGAGGAAUAUUGGUCAAUGGGCGAGAGCCUGAACCAGCCAAGUCGCGUGAAGGAAGACGGUUCUAUGGAUUGUAAACUUCUUUUGUAAGGGAAUAAAAAGAGUACGUGUACUUUCUUUGUAUGUACUUUACGUAA